GACGAACGCUGGCGGCGUGCCUAAUACAUGCAAGUCGAACGAACCGCGACUAAGUGCUUGCACUAAGUCAAGGUGAGUGGCGAACGGGUGAGUAACACGUGGGUAACCUACCUCAUAGUGGGGGAUAACAGUCGGAAACGACUGCUAAUACCGCAUAGGACAUAGGAUCACAUGAUCCAGUGAGGAAAGGUGGCGCAAGCUAUCGCUAAGAGAUGGACCCGCGGUGCAUUAGCUAGUUGGUAGGGUAAAGGCCUACCAAGGCGAUGAUGCAUAGCCGACCUGAGAGGGUGAUCGGCCACAUUGGGACUGAGACACGGCCCAAACUCCUACGGGAGGCAGCAGUAGGGAAUCUUCCGCAAUGGACGCAAGUCUGACGGAGCAACGCCGCGUGAGUGAAGAAGGUCUUCGGAUCGUAAAGCUCUGUUGUUAGAGAAGAACAGCGCAUAGAGUAACUGCUAUGCGUGGGACGGUAUCUAACCAGAAAGCCACGGCGAACUACGU
RNAcentral lists this ribosomal RNA (501 nucleotides) under uncultured bacterium. RNAcentral's name for it is "partial 16S ribosomal RNA". It matches the Rfam family "Bacterial small subunit ribosomal RNA", at positions 28 to 506 of the family's 1533-position model. The record is from RNAcentral.